UUAAUUACUAAGAUCAAGACUAGUAACAGAUUAUUUUUCUAAAGAGAGUCUUCUUUCAAAAGCUGCAAGAGAAGAUAGAAAAAGUCUGUGAAUUUCAUCUUGGGAGUAGGAUCUAAUCAAUUCCGGUAUUUCACCGUUAACGAAAACUUAAGUGUGGGCGUAUUGCGUCCAAACUAGGGUGGUACCGCGACGCUUCGUCCCUAUU
Molecule: non-coding RNA, 205 nt
Filed under: Lactobacillus crispatus
Lineage: Bacteria; Bacillati; Bacillota; Bacilli; Lactobacillales; Lactobacillaceae
Description: T-box sequence
Rfam family: T-box leader
About the family: Uncharged tRNA acts as the effector for transcription antitermination of genes in the T-box leader family. T-boxes are found upstream of many aminoacyl-tRNA synthetase genes and some amino acid biosynthetic genes usually in Gram-positive bacteria. The anticodon of a specific tRNA base pairs to a specifier sequence within the T-box motif, and the NCCA acceptor tail of the tRNA base pairs to a conserved bulge in the T-box antiterminator hairpin.
Source: RNAcentral